CGGAGGGUGCAAGCGUUAUCCGGAUUCACUGGGUUUAAAGGGUGCGUAGGAGGGCAGGUAAGUCAGUGGUGAAAUCUCCAAGCUUAACUUGGAAACUGCCGUUGAUACUAUCUGUCUUGAAUAUUGUGGAGGUGAGCAAAAUAUGUCAUGUAGCGGUAGAAAUGCUUAGAUAUGACAUAGAACACCAAUUGCAAAGGCAGCUCACUACUCAAUCAUUGACUCUGAGGCACGAAAACACAAAAAUCAAACAGGAUUAGAUACCCUGGUAGUCCACGCCCUAAACUAUGGAUACUCGACAUACGCGAUAUACAGUGUGUGUCUGAGCAAAAGCAUUAAGUAUCCCACCUGGGAAGUACGACCGCAAGGUUG
This 369-nucleotide ribosomal RNA is filed under the name uncultured organism. RNAcentral's name for it is "bacterial SSU rRNA". It matches the Rfam family "Bacterial small subunit ribosomal RNA", at positions 526 to 896 of the family's 1533-position model. The record is from RNAcentral.